AAGGGUACAGCUCAGUGGUAGAGUGUGUGCUUAGCAUGCAUGAGUUCCUGGGUUCAAUCCCCACUACCUCCA
This 72-nucleotide transfer RNA is filed under the name Camelus bactrianus (Bactrian camel). It matches the Rfam family "tRNA". From Rfam's summary of the family: Transfer RNA (tRNA) molecules are approximately 80 nucleotides in length. Their secondary structure includes four short double-helical elements and three loops (D, anti-codon, and T loops). Further hydrogen bonds mediate the characteristic L-shaped molecular structure. tRNAs have two regions of fundamental functional importance: the anti-codon, which is responsible for specific mRNA codon recognition, and the 3' end, to which the tRNAs corresponding amino acid is attached (by aminoacyl-tRNA synthetases). tRNAs cope with the degeneracy of the genetic code in two manners: having more than one tRNA (with a specific anti-codon) for a particular amino acid; and 'wobble' base-pairing, i.e. permitting non-standard base-pairing at the 3rd anti-codon position. The record is from Rfam by way of RNAcentral. RNAcentral also lists the same sequence under 2 other names. Lineage: Eukaryota; Metazoa; Chordata; Mammalia; Artiodactyla; Camelidae.